This 296-nucleotide long non-coding RNA is filed under the name Elaeis guineensis (African oil palm). RNAcentral describes it as "long non-coding RNA (EGUI_LNC015212)". Lineage: Eukaryota; Viridiplantae; Streptophyta; Magnoliopsida; Arecales; Arecaceae. The record is from RNAcentral.
CGCUGGACUCGUUUAUGAAUCGGUAAAGUAAUAGAUGUCUGGGUAUCUUAUCAUGUACGUACUUCCAAGAUCCAAGGUGAUGCCUCAAACAAUUGAGGCAGCAAGUUUCACAUGUAACCAUUGAAUCCACUCGAUCAUUCACAUGACGUGUACCACAUGAUAGAUAGCGGCAAGGCAAAUCAUGUCCAUCUGAUGGAUCGAUCAUCUCUUGUUGGGCCUUCUUGUUUUGUUGCUUUUAUGACACAAGUGCAAUUUGCCAUGAACAUACAUGUAAUGCACAUGAGAAAAUUUAAGUG